This 518-nucleotide ribosomal RNA is filed under the name uncultured bacterium. RNAcentral describes it as "bacterial SSU rRNA". It matches the Rfam family "Bacterial small subunit ribosomal RNA", at positions 32 to 518 of the family's 1533-position model. The record is from RNAcentral.
AACGCUGGCGGCGUGCCUAAUACAUGCAAGUCGAACGGCUUUUCUAUGGAAGCUUGCUUCCACUGAGAAGAUAGUGGCGAACGGGGUGAGUAACACGUGGGUAACCUGGCCCAUAAGAGGGGGGAUAACAUCCGGAAACGGGUGCUAAUACCGCAUAGUUUUCUUGAUCGCAUGAUUGAGAAAGGAAAGACGGCCUUUGUGCUGUCGCUUAUGGAUGGACCCGCGGCGUAUUAGUUAGUUGGUGAGGUAACGGCUCACCAAGACGAUGAUACGUAGCCGACCUGAGAGGGUGAUCGGCCACAUUGGGACUGAGACACGGCCCAAACUCCUACGGGAGGCAGCAGUAGGGAAUCUUCCGCAAUGGACGAAAGUCUGACGGAGCAACGCCGCGUGAGUGAAGAAAAGGGUUUUCGGAUCGUAAAACUCUGUUGUCAGAGAAGAACAAGUUGGAGAGUAACUGCUCCAGCCUUGACGGUAUCUGACCAGAAAGCCACGGCUAACUACGUGCCAGCAGCCGC